GAUGAACGCUGGCGGCGUGCCUAAUACAUGCAAGUCGAGCGAACAGACGAGGAGCUUGCUCCUCUGACGUUAGCGGCGGACGGGUGAGUAACACGUGGAUAACCUACCUAUAAGACUGGGAUAACUUCGGGAAACCGGAGCUAAUACCGGAUAAUAUAUUGAACCGCAUGGUUCAAUAGUGAAAGACGGUUUUGCUGUCACUUAUAGAUGGAUCCGCGCCGCAUUAGCUAGUUGGUAAGGUAACGGCUUACCAAGGCAACGAUGCGUAGCCGACCUGAGAGGGUGAUCGGACACACUGGAACUGAGAAACGGUCCAGACUCCGACGGGAGGCAGCAGUAGGGAAUCUUCCGCAAGGGGCGAAAGCCUGACGGAGCAACGCCGCGUGAGUGAUGAAGGUCUUCGGAUCGUAAAACUCUGUUAUUAGGGAAGAACAAAUGUGUAAGUAACUAUGCACGUCUUGACGGUACCUAAUCAGAAAGCCACGGCUAACUACGUG
RNAcentral lists this ribosomal RNA (497 nucleotides) under uncultured bacterium. RNAcentral describes it as "partial 16S ribosomal RNA". It matches the Rfam family "Bacterial small subunit ribosomal RNA", at positions 28 to 507 of the family's 1533-position model. The record is from RNAcentral.